RNAcentral lists this transfer RNA (67 nucleotides) under Ischnoptera bilunata. RNAcentral describes it as "tRNA-Leu". It matches the Rfam family "tRNA". From Rfam's summary of the family: Transfer RNA (tRNA) molecules are approximately 80 nucleotides in length. Their secondary structure includes four short double-helical elements and three loops (D, anti-codon, and T loops). Further hydrogen bonds mediate the characteristic L-shaped molecular structure. tRNAs have two regions of fundamental functional importance: the anti-codon, which is responsible for specific mRNA codon recognition, and the 3' end, to which the tRNAs corresponding amino acid is attached (by aminoacyl-tRNA synthetases). tRNAs cope with the degeneracy of the genetic code in two manners: having more than one tRNA (with a specific anti-codon) for a particular amino acid; and 'wobble' base-pairing, i.e. permitting non-standard base-pairing at the 3rd anti-codon position. The record is from RNAcentral. Lineage: Eukaryota; Metazoa; Arthropoda; Insecta; Blattodea; Blattellidae.
ACUAUUUUGGCAGAUUAGUGCGGUGGAUUUAGAAUCUAUUUAUGUAGAUUUUUGUCUAUAAGUAGUA